RNAcentral lists this long non-coding RNA (2028 nucleotides) under Pan troglodytes (chimpanzee). RNAcentral's name for it is "lincRNA". The record is from RNAcentral. Lineage: Eukaryota; Metazoa; Chordata; Mammalia; Primates; Hominidae.
AGUAUACUAAGGACCUGGGGGCAAUCUUGCCAGACUUCCUCUGCAGGCAUCUUUAAUUUUCUUGUAUCAUAAAUUUUUAUCUUACAUUCUAUACAAGGGGGAAUCACUGAGCUGAUGAGUGAGCCUAACCAUUUGCCCGACACCAUUGCAGAAACUGGUUAUUUUACCAAGGCUUUGACUGGAAUAGUGUGCUUCCCUUUAAGGAAUCAAACUUGACUUUUGGAGCUAAUAAAAGCCCCUUGGGAAAACUGCUCUCUUACCUUGUCUACACAGUCUCUGGACAGAGUUCCUGACCUGUGUAUCCAGAAUGAGUGAUCCUUGAAAAUCUCAAAUUGGAUCAUGUCCUUCAGCUACUUAAAACCUGUCAAUGAUGACCAGUUGUACUUCAAGUAAAAUCCAAAUCCUCUCAAGGUACCAAGGGGAGAAGGAAGAAACAAUACAAGAAUUGGCCCCAGGAAAUAUUUAUUCUAAAUCUGGCACAUGCAAAACCCCGAGAUAGCCAUCAAGGACAAAAAUCGUCACUGGGAGGUGGGAAGCCCUGAAGGAAAAGCACUAGUCUUGGUGUCAGGAGACCUAUGCUUGUGUUUUCACACUGACAGGAUGUGUGGAUCUCAACACGUAUCUUCAUCUUCUGAACCUAUUUCCUCAUCUAUAAAAGGUCACUAACACCCAUUUUGAAAAACCACAUGUAGGUUAGGAGGAUUCAAUGUAUGUGAAAGAGUUCUUCAAACUCCUAAGCACUUGCUGUGCUGAUGGUAAAGGUGAUAAUGAGGAGGAAGGAGUGUCUGCUAUGGGCAAACCACUGUCCUAAAACUUUUAAGUACAUUGUUAAUUAAUCUGCAUCAAUAAGUCUACGAAUUAGAUUCUAUCAUAAUCUCAAUUUUAAAGAUGAGGUUCAGAGAGAUGACAAAUUUUGCCUGAUAUCACACAGUCAUUUUAAUGGUGGAACAGAAAUUUUAACCCAAAUCUAUCUGGCUCCAUAGUUAACACUCUUAGCUACCAUAUUAUACGGCCAAUCUAACUCCCUUAUCUUUGGGAAAUACUUUUAUUUAUAGGUCAGUGACACAGAGUUACAGAUCCUGGGUACAGCCUGGGUCUGUAACUUACUCAAUGUAUAAUGCUGGGUAAGUCUUAACCUCUCUGUGCCUCAUCUGUUAAAUGAAGGAGUUGAACUCUAGGAUCUCUCAAGUUCAUUCCCUUUGAGUUCAUCUAACAUUAUACGGUCUUCGUUCUUGUUGGUACAAUAGUUUAUUAGGUAAUUGUUUAUUAGAUAAUUAACAGUCCGAGUCACCUUGGCUAUCUGCCAAAUGAAUAGAAGCACACUACAGAUAUUAGAGGGGAUUGAAGGGAAGAGAUUUCCAAGGGCUUUGGCAGGUGGAGAAGGCUUUUUGGAGAGGAUAGGCCUGAACCAUUUCACCAUUAAAAGCACUUUUAUUAUUUUUCUCCAUAGUCACUAUAUUUACAAAGAUUUUAUGUUUACUUAACAUUGUGGCAUGGUCUGGCAAAAGAGAGCAUCUGCAGCCCCUCCAGGAAAGAAGAGAAAUCCUGUAAUCCCUAGAGAGAGUCAGGCAGGAGGACAAAAUUAGUGGCUGCAUGCUUACUGCAGACCAGCACGGUAUGAGAACAGUAUUUUGUCAUCAGCUGUGAGUCGGCUAAAAGUUGAAGCCAAAUGUUCAAGCAUUGUUAGGAGUUGAGUCUUUUCUUUGAUGAAGCAUAUGGGAGCCUCAUUCAUCCACACUUUCCUUGCCUCCACAUCCUUGCCAUUAUGGGAAUGGCAUAUAAGCCAGUGAUUCUCAAUUAGAAGUGACUUUGUCCCUUAUGAACUAUAGGCGAUAUCUGAAGACAGACUAAAUGCCAUGACUUGGCUGGGGAGGAAGUGGGAGCUUGCUACUGAUAUCUAGUGGAUAGAGGCCAGGAAUACUUAGGGCAGGCUCCCCACCCUCCAUCCCCAGCAACAGAGAAUUAUCUGGUCCAAAAUUUCAAUAGUGCUGAGGCUGAAAAACUCUGAUACAAGGGAACAGCAGUUAC